Molecule: long non-coding RNA, 399 nt
Organism: Mya arenaria
Lineage: Eukaryota; Metazoa; Mollusca; Bivalvia; Myida; Myidae
Exons: 3
Source: RefSeq, a predicted model, not a curated record
CUGAAAUAGGUGCUUGUGUUGAUUCAGUGUAUGAAAAUAGAACAACGAACGUCACGGACUUCGAAUAUAUUCAAAGGAUUAAGUGUUCAGAAUUUAAAGUAUCCAACAUUUGAUUGACUGGAGGGGAAGUGCCCAGUAAAGGACGCUUGGAAAUAUUAACUAACACACAAUGGGGAACUGUUUGUACAUAUGCAGGAGGACUCGACGGGUAUCUGUUAAGCUCUGAAAAUAAAGACAGAAUAUGCCAGAUGUUAGGAUACUUCAACAACACGAAUAUACCAGUUCGUUUCAACGAAAGCCAACUUACAAACAAUGCGUCUUCUCCCGUCCUGAUGACACUUGAAGGCUGCUCGGAUUUAAACUCACUAGACUUUGAGAAGUAUUGUAAUGUUAUAAAAG